RNAcentral lists this ribosomal RNA (253 nucleotides) under uncultured bacterium. RNAcentral's name for it is "partial 16S ribosomal RNA". It matches the Rfam family "Bacterial small subunit ribosomal RNA", at positions 524 to 776 of the family's 1533-position model. The record is from RNAcentral.
UACGAAGGGGGCUAGCGUUGCUCGGAAUUACUGGGCGUAAAGCGCACGUAGGCGGCUUUCUAAGUCGGGGGUGAAAUCCUGGAGCUCAACUCCAGAACUGCCUUCGAUACUGGAGAGCUCGAGUCCGGGAGAGGUGAGUGGAACUGCGAGUGUAGAGGUGAAAUUCGUAGAUAUUCGCAAGAACACCAGUGGCGAAGGCGGCUCACUGGCCCGAUACUGACGCUGAUGCACGAAAGCGUGGGGAGCAAACAGG